CUUGAAACACGGACCAAGGAGUUUAUCGUGUACGCAAGUCAUUGGGUGUAUAAAACCCAUAGGCGAAAUGAAAGUAAAGAGUAGAGUUUUGUAAAAAAGUUUACUCUUUUACAUUCUCUCUUAAGGGAAGAUGAAAAUAUCAUAUAUUUAUGUAUAUGAAAAUUUUCCGCACUCCCAGGGCGCUUGUAUCUUGCUUUGCGAGUCGAUGCGCACCUAGAGCGUACACGCUGAUACCCGAAAGAUGGUGAACUAUGCCUGGCCAGGACGAAGCCAGGGGAAACCCUGGUGGAGGUCCGCAGCGAUUCUGACGUGCAAAUCGAUCGUCGGAGCUGGGUAUAGGGGCGAAAGACCAAUCGAACCAUCUAGUAGCUGGUUCCCUCUGAAGUUUCCCUCAGGAUA
This 399-nucleotide ribosomal RNA is filed under the name Zelurus sp. CW-2009. Its description in RNAcentral is "eukaryotic LSU rRNA". It matches the Rfam family "Eukaryotic large subunit ribosomal RNA", at positions 653 to 980 of the family's 3401-position model. Lineage: Eukaryota; Metazoa; Arthropoda; Insecta; Hemiptera; Reduviidae. The record is from RNAcentral.